Molecule: ribosomal RNA, 228 nt
Filed under: Salmonella enterica subsp. arizonae serovar 41:z4,z23:-
Lineage: Bacteria; Pseudomonadati; Pseudomonadota; Gammaproteobacteria; Enterobacterales; Enterobacteriaceae
Description: partial 16S ribosomal RNA
Rfam family: Bacterial small subunit ribosomal RNA
Source: RNAcentral
AAAUUGAAGAGUUUGAUCAUGGCUCAGAUUGAACGCUGGCGGCAGGCCUAACACAUGCAAGUCGAACGGUAACAGGAAGCAGCUUGCUGCUUCGCUGACGAGUGGCGGACGGGUGAGUAAUGUCUGGGAAACUGCCUGAUGGAGGGGGAUAACUACUGGAAACGGUAGCUAAUACCGCAUAACGUCGCAGGACCAAAGAGGGGGACCUUCGGGCCUCUUGCCAUCAGA